This 24-nucleotide microRNA is filed under the name Gallus gallus (chicken). Its description in RNAcentral is "microRNA Ros-gga". The record is from RNAcentral. Lineage: Eukaryota; Metazoa; Chordata; Aves; Galliformes; Phasianidae.
CCCAGCAUUCAUCAUACUUGUUCU